UUUAGGAAAAUUGAGUAUUGUUAAUACUUAGAUGGCUAUUCCUCCUAAAA
This 50-nucleotide transfer RNA is filed under the name Leptotrombidium akamushi. RNAcentral's name for it is "tRNA-Asn". The record is from RNAcentral. Lineage: Eukaryota; Metazoa; Arthropoda; Arachnida; Trombidiformes; Trombiculidae.